Molecule: ribosomal RNA, 451 nt
Filed under: uncultured organism
Description: partial 16S ribosomal RNA
Rfam family: Bacterial small subunit ribosomal RNA
Source: RNAcentral
ACGUACACUCCUACGGGAGGCAGCAGUGGGGAAUAUUGGACAAUGGGCGCAAGCCUGAUCCAGCCAUGCCGCGUGAGUGAUGAAGGCCCUAGGGUUGUAAAGCUCUUUCACCGGAGAAGAUAAUGACGGUAUCCGGAGAAGAAGCCCCGGCUAACUUCGUGCCAGCAGCCGCGGUAAUACGAAGGGGGCUAGCGUUGUUCGGAAUUACUGGGCGUAAAGCGCACGUAGGCGGAUCGAUCAGUCAGGGGUGAAAUCCCAGGGCUCAACCCUGGAACUGCCUUUGAUACUGUCGAUCUGGAGUAUGGAAGAGGUGAGUGGAAUUCCGAGUGUAGAGGUGAAAUUCGUAGAUAUUCGGAGGAACACCAGUGGCGAAGGCGGCUCACUGGUCCAUUACUGACGCUGAGGUGCGAAAGCGUGGGGAGCAAACAGGAUUAGAAACCCCAGUAGUCCC